Nothobranchius furzeri (turquoise killifish) is the source of this 161-nucleotide non-coding RNA. The record is from RefSeq and is a predicted model, not a curated record. Lineage: Eukaryota; Metazoa; Chordata; Actinopteri; Cyprinodontiformes; Nothobranchiidae.
CUCGUCUUCAUCAGGACCCCUUUACAACCCUUCUUCAUAAACCAACCUGUGCUCCUUCGUAUGCCCUCUAGCCACCUCCUGACAAACAUCCUGGCACAUCCUGCAUCAGUUUGAGCAGCGCUUUGAGUUCUCCAGUUUAAAAUAAAUUAUUUAUUUUCUUA